Dermatophagoides pteronyssinus (European house dust mite) is the source of this 508-nucleotide long non-coding RNA. NCBI's taxonomy places the organism in Eukaryota, Metazoa, Arthropoda, Arachnida, Sarcoptiformes, Pyroglyphidae. The record is from RefSeq and is a predicted model, not a curated record.
UUCAGAUUUUGUCAUAUCUAUACUUUGAUUAGCAAAAUAAAAAAUAUGAAAACUUUGGGCAAAUCAAAACUGUAUAUUUUGUUUUCGGCGAUUUUGAUUGUUUUAGGUGAAAGCCAAACAAAACAAAACAAAAACAUGAUCAUGCUGCGCGCCAACAUUGUUUCGGCCAAAUAUUUUUUUCACCGCUAAGCAACACCUAAAAAAAACUUUUGAAAAAAAACAACUAAUUAAGUUAAUUACAACAACAAGUCAAUGAACCUUCGUUGAAAAGAUAGGCUUGUCUCGAUGAUUAUAAUUGGAAUGGCUAAAUUUACCGCGACCAAUUGAAUAACAAGCAAACGGACGGAAGUGUACGCUUGAAUAAGUGGUAUAUCGUCAAAAUUGAAAAUACAGGUUAAAACACGCGUGACCAAAAUUGAAUAAUCAUUACAAGUGUGGCCAAUGGCUAUUUCUCUACAGGCGGCCGCUUCGACAACAAGAAAAUUGUUCCAUCAUCAUUCUAAAUCUA